CACGUAGGGGGCAAGCGUUGUCCGGAUUUAUUGGGCGUAAAGAGCUCGUAGGCGGUUUGUUGCGUCGGCUGUGAAAUCCCGAGGCUCAACCUCGGGUCUGCAGUCGAUACGAGCAAACUAGAGUGUUGCAGGGGAGACUGGAAUUCCUGGUGUAGCGGUGAAAUGCGCAGAUAUCAGGAGGAACACCGGUGGCGAAGGCGGGUCUCUGGGCAACAACUGACGCUGAGGAGCGAAAGCGUGGGGAGCGAACAGG
RNAcentral lists this ribosomal RNA (253 nucleotides) under uncultured bacterium. Its description in RNAcentral is "partial 16S ribosomal RNA". It matches the Rfam family "Bacterial small subunit ribosomal RNA", at positions 524 to 776 of the family's 1533-position model. The record is from RNAcentral.